RNAcentral lists this transfer RNA (65 nucleotides) under Ictidomys tridecemlineatus (thirteen-lined ground squirrel). RNAcentral describes it as "Spermophilus tridecemlineatus (thirteen-lined ground squirrel) tRNA". It matches the Rfam family "tRNA". From Rfam's summary of the family: Transfer RNA (tRNA) molecules are approximately 80 nucleotides in length. Their secondary structure includes four short double-helical elements and three loops (D, anti-codon, and T loops). The record is from Rfam by way of RNAcentral. Lineage: Eukaryota; Metazoa; Chordata; Mammalia; Rodentia; Sciuridae.
UGUGUGGCUUAAUGGUAGAGCACUUGCCUAGCAUGCACCAGGUCCUGGGUUUGAUCCCCAGCGCA